GAUGAACGCUGGCGGCGUGCCUAAUACAUGCAAGUCGAGCGAACAGAUGAGGAGCUUGCUCCUCUGACGUUAGCGGCGGACGGGUGAGUAACACGUGGAUAACCUACCUAUAAGACUGGGAUAACUUCGGGAAACCGGAGCUAAUACCGGAUAAUAUAUUGAACCGCAUGGUUCAAUAGUGAAAGACGGUUUUGCUGUCACUUAUAGAUGGAUCCGCGCCGCAUUAGCUAGUUGGUAAGGUAACGGCUUACCAAGGCAACGAUGCGUAGCCGACCUGAGAGGGUGAUCGGCCACACUGGAACUGAGACACGGUCCAGACUCCUACGGGAGGCAGCAGUAGGGAAUCUUCCGCAAAGGGCGAAAGCCUGACGGAGCAACGCCGCGUGAGUGAUGAAGGCCUUCGGAUCGUAAAACUCUGUUAUUAGGGAAGAACAAAUGUGUAAGUAACUAUGCACGUCUUGACGGUACCUAAUCAGAAAGCCACGGCUAACUACGUG
Molecule: ribosomal RNA, 497 nt
Filed under: uncultured bacterium
Lineage: Bacteria
Description: partial 16S ribosomal RNA
Rfam family: Bacterial small subunit ribosomal RNA
Source: RNAcentral